UUAAGCGACUAAGCGUACACGGUGGAUGCCCUGGCAGUCAGAGGCGAUGAAGGACGUGCUAAUCUGCGAUAAGCGUCGGUAAGGUGAUAUGAACCGUUAUAACCGGCGAUUUCCGAAUGGGGAAACCCAGUGUGUUUCGACACACUAUCAUUAACUGAAUCCAUAGGUUAAUGAGGCGAACCGGGGGAACUGAAACAUCUAAGUACCCCGAGGAAAAGAAAUCAACCGAGAUUCCCCCAGUAGCGGCGAGCGAACGGGGAGGAGCCCAGAGCCUGAAUCAGUGUGUGUGUUAGUGGAAGCGUCUGGAAAGGCGCGCGAUACAGGGUGACAGCCCCGUACACAAAAAUACACAUACUGUGAGCUCGAUGAGUAGGGCGGGACACGUGGUAUCCUGUCUGAAUAUGGGGGGACCAUCCUCCAAGGCUAAAUACUCCUGACUGACCGAUAGUGAACCAGUACCGUGAGGGAAAGGCGAAAAGAACCCCGGCGAGGGGAGUGAAAAAGAACCUGAAACCGUGUACGUACAAGCAGUGGAAGCACGCUUAGGCGUGUGACUGCGUACCUUUUGUAUAAUGGGUCAGCGACUUAUAUUCUGUAGCAAGGUUAACCGAAUAGGGGAGCCGAAGGGAAACCGAGUCUUAACUGGGCGUUAAGUUGCAGGGUAUAGACCCGAAACCCGGUGAUCUAGCCAUGGGCAGGUUGAAGGUUGGGUAACACUAACUGGAGGACCGAACCGACUAAUGUUGAAAAAUUAGCGGAUGACUUGUGGCUGGGGGUGAAAGGCCAAUCAAACCGGGAGAUAGCUGGUUCUCCCCGAAAGCUAUUUAGGUAGCGCCUCGUGAAUUCAUCUCCGGGGGUAGAGCACUGUUUCGGCAAGGGGGUCAUCCCGACUUACCAACCCGAUGCAAACUGCGAAUACCGGAGAAUGUUAUCACGGGAGACACACGGCGGGUGCUAACGUCCGUCGUGAAGAGGGAAACAACCCAGACCGCCAGCUAAGGUCCCAAAGUCAUGGUUAAGUGGGAAACGAUGUGGGAAGGCCCAGACAGCCAGGAUGUUGGCUUAGAAGCAGCCAUCAUUUAAAGAAAGCGUAAUAGCUCACUGGUCGAGUCGGCCUGCGCGGAAGAUGUAACGGGGCUAAACCAUGCACCGAAGCUGCGGCAGCGACGCUGAUGCGUUGUUGGGUAGGGGAGCGUUCUGUAAGCCUGCGAAGGUGUGCUGUGAGGCAUGCUGGAGGUAUCAGAAGUGCGAAUGCUGACAUAAGUAACGAUAAAGCGGGUGAAAAGCCCGCUCGCCGGAAGACCAAGGGUUCCUGUCCAACGUUAAUCGGGGCAGGGUGAGUCGACCCCUAAGGCGAGGCCGAAAGGCGUAGUCGAUGGGAAACAGGUUAAUAUUCCUGUACUUGGUGUUACUGCGAAGGGGGGACGGAGAAGGCUAUGUUGGCCGGGCGACGGUUGUCCCGGUUUAAGCGUGUAGGCUGGUUUUCCAGGCAAAUCCGGAAAAUCAAGGCUGAGGCGUGAUGACGAGGCACUACGGUGCUGAAGCAACAAAUGCCCUGCUUCCAGGAAAAGCCUCUAAGCAUCAGGUAACAUCAAAUCGUACCCCAAACCGACACAGGUGGUCAGGUAGAGAAUACCAAGGCGCUUGAGAGAACUCGGGUGAAGGAACUAGGCAAAAUGGUGCCGUAACUUCGGGAGAAGGCACGCUGAUAUGUAGGUGAAGUCCCUCGCGGAUGGAGCUGAAAUCAGUCGAAGAUACCAGCUGGCUGCAACUGUUUAUUAAAAACACAGCACUGUGCAAACACGAAAGUGGACGUAUACGGUGUGACGCCUGCCCGGUGCCGGAAGGUUAAUUGAUGGGGUCAGCGCAAGCGAAGCUCUUGAUCGAAGCCCCGGUAAACGGCGGCCGUAACUAUAACGGUCCUAAGGUAGCGAAAUUCCUUGUCGGGUAAGUUCCGACCUGCACGAAUGGCGUAAUGAUGGCCAGGCUGUCUCCACCCGAGACUCAGUGAAAUUGAACUCGCUGUGAAGAUGCAGUGUACCCGCGGCAAGACGGAAAGACCCCGUGAACCUUUACUAUAGCUUGACACUGAACAUUGAGCCUUGAUGUGUAGGAUAGGUGGGAGGCUUGGAAGUGUGGACGCCAGUCUGCAUGGAGCCGACCUUGAAAUACCACCCUUUAAUGUUUGAUGUUCUAACGUGGACCCGUGAUCCGGGUUGCGGACAGUGUCUGGUGGGUAGUUUGACUGGGGCGGUCUCCUCCUAAAGAGUAACGGAGGAGCACGAAGGUUGGCUAAUCCUGGUCGGACAUCAGGAGGUUAGUGCAAUGGCAUAAGCCAGCUUGACUGCGAGCGUGACGGCGCGAGCAGGUGCGAAAGCAGGUCAUAGUGAUCCGGUGGUUCUGAAUGGAAGGGCCAUCGCUCAACGGAUAAAAGGUACUCCGGGGAUAACAGGCUGAUACCGCCCAAGAGUUCAUAUCGACGGCGGUGUUUGGCACCUCGAUGUCGGCUCAUCACAUCCUGGGGCUGAAGUAGGUCCCAAGGGUAUGGCUGUUCGCCAUUUAAAGUGGUACGCGAGCUGGGUUUAGAACGUCGUGAGACAGUUCGGUCCCUAUCUGCCGUGGGCGCUGGAGAACUGAGGGGGGCUGCUCCUAGUACGAGAGGACCGGAGUGGACGCAUCACUGGUGUUCGGGUUGUCAUGCCAAUGGCACUGCCCGGUAGCUAAAUGCGGAAGAGAUAAGUGCUGAAAGCAUCUAAGCACGAAACUUGCCCCGAGAUGAGUUCUCCCUGACUCCUUGAGAGUCCUGAAGGAACGUUGAAGACGACGACGUUGAUAGGCCGGGUGUGUAAGCGCAGCGAUGCGUUGAGCUAACCGGUACUAAUGAACCGUGAGGCUUAACCUU
RNAcentral lists this ribosomal RNA (2902 nucleotides) under Escherichia coli LT-68. RNAcentral describes it as "bacterial LSU rRNA". It matches the Rfam family "Bacterial large subunit ribosomal RNA". The record is from RNAcentral. Lineage: Bacteria; Pseudomonadati; Pseudomonadota; Gammaproteobacteria; Enterobacterales; Enterobacteriaceae.